UACGUAGGGGGCAAGCGUUGUCCGGAAUUAUUGGGCGUAAAGGGCGCGUAGGCGGCCCGCUAAGUCGAACGUGAAAUCCCCGAGCUCAACUCGGGAACUGCGUCCGAUACUGGUGGGCUUGAAUCCGGGAGAGGGAUGCGGAAUUCCAGGUGUAGCGGUGAAAUGCGUAGAUAUCUGGAGGAACACCGGUGGCGAAGGCGGCAUCCUGGACCGGCAUUGACGCUGAGGCGCGAAAGCUAGGGGAGCAAACAGG
This 253-nucleotide ribosomal RNA is filed under the name uncultured bacterium. RNAcentral describes it as "partial 16S ribosomal RNA". It matches the Rfam family "Bacterial small subunit ribosomal RNA", at positions 524 to 776 of the family's 1533-position model. The record is from RNAcentral.